RNAcentral lists this long non-coding RNA (1098 nucleotides) under Buteo japonicus. RNAcentral's name for it is "lncRNA (ENSBJAG00000006764.1)". Lineage: Eukaryota; Metazoa; Chordata; Aves; Accipitriformes; Accipitridae. The record is from RNAcentral.
CACCCACCCCCCCCAUCCCUGAGCCUCUCCACCCCCACCAUGCCCAUGCCACCACGAUGACCAUCCUGGUGCCACCACGUCCCUCGUCCCCAUGCCACCACGUCCCUCAUCUCCGUUCCUCCACAUCCAUCGUCCCUGUGCCACCAUGGCCAUCAUCUCCAUUCCUCCACCAUGCCACCAGGUCCGUCAUCUCCAUCUCCACCACCACUGUCCCUGUGCCACCAGGUCCCUCAUCCCCCUGCCUCUACGUCCCCAUGUCCGUUGUCCCCAUGCCACCAUGUCCAUCAUCCUCGCUCCUCCAUGUCCAUCGUCCCCGUGCCACCACGUCCAUCAUCUCUAUUCCUCCACCUCCAUCGUCCCCGGGCCACCAUGGCCAUCUUCCCUGUGCCACUACAUUCAUCAUCACCGGGCCACCACCUCCAUCGUCCCUGUUCCUCCAUCUCCACUGUCCCCAUGCCACCACGGCCAUCAUCCCUGUUCCUCCACCUCCACUGUCCCCAUGCCACCACGUCCAUCACCCCUCUGCCACUACGUCCAUUGUCCUUGCGCCUCCAUCUCCACUGUCCCCAUGCCACCAGAUCCGUCAUCCCCGCUCCUCCAUCUCCUUUGUCCCCAUGCCACCAUGGCCAUCAUCCCUCUUCCUCCACCUCCACUGUCCCCAUGCCACCACGGCCAUCAUCCCUGUUCCUCCAUCUCCACUGUCCCCAUGCCACCAAGGCCAUCAUCCCCGUUCCUCCACCUCCACUGUCCCCAUGCCACCACGGCCAUCACCCCUCUGCCACUACGUCCAUUGUCCUUGCGCCUCCAUCUCCACUGUCCCCAUGCCACCAGAUCCGUCAUCCCCGCUCCUCCAUCUCCUUUGUCCCCAUGCCAUCAUGGCCAUCAUCCCUGUUCCUCCAUCUCCACUGUCCCCAUGCCACCACGGCCAUCGUCCUUGUGCCACCACUGUCCCCGUGCCACCCCGGCCAUCGUCCCUGUUCCUCCACCUCCGUCGUCCCCGUGUCCCCUCCCUAGCCCGUACCUUGAAGAAGAAGCCGAGGCUGGCUCGGGUCUCGGCGCCGGCCCCCCCCUCGGUGGGCGACCCCUCCAAGGAGUCCC